This is a long non-coding RNA of Herpailurus yagouaroundi (jaguarundi), 1266 nucleotides long. RefSeq lists it as uncharacterized. The record is from RefSeq and is a predicted model, not a curated record. The transcript is spliced from 3 exons. Lineage: Eukaryota; Metazoa; Chordata; Mammalia; Carnivora; Felidae.
UCUCUCCUGCUUGCAGGUUCUCUGCGCUCCAGAGCCACACAUGACCCUGCGGAGAUGACCGUCCUCGAGGUCAGCAACGUGCUACCAAUUUCACCUGAUCACUGUGUGCAGAAUCCGGAAAGCCUAGGUGUGGUCCCCAAGGGUAAUCUCCAAAGGGUGCGUCUUCCGUGACCCAGCUGGGAUUUCAACCCCGCGUGCUUGCUCGUAGCGCCCCAGCCUCCACGUCACGUUCUUUACGAGUUAACGGUGCAUUUACUGAAGGCAGAGUUAGCCCUCUGUCAGGACACACGUGUGAGAGUGGGUUUCUGCCUGGCGCAAUUCGAUAUACUGGCUAUUAAGCCGCCGAAAGACGGCUGAGGUCUAGACUCGCUUGCUGACGGACCCUGGCAGUGCGUUGUUCGGGAUGGGUUCGGAUGCAAGGAAACAUGACGCCCACUCAGUUCUGUCCCAGAUGCACCGAAGAAUUCGAGACCGGAGCCCAGAAUGGGGAGGGAGAGUUGACUGAGUAGAGGGAGAACUCGACGCCAAUGUCCUAUUCGACAGAGACCGCAGCAACCUGGAUGCCUCGCGGACGGCAGAGGGGAGCUUCGGAAAAUUCAUUCCACGUGUGACGGGAGACCCCCAACUGUGGGAAUGGACGCGAAAACUGGAAGAUGCACUCCCCGAAGACCUGGGCGCCUGCUGCUGUCUCCCUCUGACGUCCGCGGCACGAGGCUUUGUCACGUGCGGCCACGGCCUGGCUGACACGGAGCGCCAGCGCCCAGACGCUGCGAAGGUACUUGUCGUCUCCCUGUGGCUCCAGUGUGACCGUCUGUCCUGUCUUUUCAUUUCCUGCAUCAGCAACACCCCACCCCCCCACCGCCCCCGGUGGGUCUGGGCUGCCUCUCCCCGCGUCCUCACUAGCACCAGGGGAGGCGAUGGUUAGUGCAGCUGACGGGUGACCAGCUGCGGUGGGGCGCAGACCUGACCUUCCUGGCCCCCUGGUCGUGGGGCAGGACCUGGCAGCUAGUUCUGGCCCGUGAGCGGGAGUGAGUACGUCGUUCCUGGGUUGGGGCGUUGAAUAGCCUGUGUGUGACUUUCUAGAAUCCCCCGCUGAAGUAAUUACGGAAGCAGAAGUGAAUUUGGAGCCCCCCCAUAGGCUCAGACCCCCGAGUGGCUGGAGGGACCAGAAUGUCCCUGCCCACCUGCAAAGUCAUGGAGCAGGAGGGAGAAAUAAGUCCGUUUUGAGCCUGAGGUUGGUAAGCCACGGCCUGCAGUCCAAAUCUG